Molecule: ribosomal RNA, 497 nt
Filed under: uncultured bacterium
Lineage: Bacteria
Description: partial 16S ribosomal RNA
Rfam family: Bacterial small subunit ribosomal RNA
Source: RNAcentral
GAUGAACGCUGGCGGCGUGCCUAAUACAUGCAAGUCGAGCGAACAGACGAGGAGCUUGCUCCUCUGACGUUAGCGGCGGACGGGUGAGUAACACGUGGAUAACCUACCUAUAAGACUGGGAUAACUUCGGGAAACCUGAGCUAAUACCGGAUAAUAUAUUUAACCGCAUGGUUCAAUAGUGAAAGACGGUUUUGCUGUCACUUAUAGAUGGAUCCGCGCCGCAUUAGCUAGUUGGUAAGGUAACGGCUUACCAAGGCAACGAUGCGUAGCCGACCUGAGAGGGUGAUCGGACACACUGGAACUGAGACACGGUCCAGACUCCUACGGGAGGCAGCAGUAGGGAAUCUUCCGCAAUGGGCGAAAGCCUGACGGAGCAACGCCGCGUGAGUGAUGAAGGUCUUCGGAUCGUAAAACUCUGUUAUUAGGGAAGAACAAAUGUGUAAGUAACUAUGCACGUCUUGACGGUACCUAAUCAGAAAGCCACGGCUAACUACGUG